Molecule: ribosomal RNA, 465 nt
Filed under: uncultured Comamonadaceae bacterium
Lineage: Bacteria; Pseudomonadati; Pseudomonadota; Betaproteobacteria; Burkholderiales; Comamonadaceae
Description: bacterial SSU rRNA
Rfam family: Bacterial small subunit ribosomal RNA
Source: RNAcentral
CCUACGGGAGGCUGCAGUGGGGAAUUUUGGACAAUGGGCGCAAGCCUGAUCCAGCCAUUCCGCGUGCAGGAUGAAGGCCCUCGGGUUGUAAACUGCUUUUGUACGGAACGAAACGGCGCUCUCUAAUACAGGGCGCUAAUGACGGUACCGUAAGAAUAAGCACCGGCUAACUACGUGCCAGCAGCCGCGGUAAUACGUAGGGUGCAAGCGUUAAUCGGAAUUACUGGGCGUAAAGCGUGCGCAGGCGGUCUUGUAAGACAGAUGUGAAAUCCCCGGGCUCAACCUGGGAACUGCAUUUGUGACUGCAAGGCUAGAGUACGGUAGAGGGGGAUGGAAUUCCGCGUGUAGCAGUGAAAUGCGUAGAUAUGCGGAGGAACACCGAUGGCGAAGGCAAUCCCCUGGACCUGUACUGACGCUCAUGCACGAAAGCGUGGGGAGCAAACAGGAUUAGAUACCCCAGUAGUC